GGCGACGUGGGUGAGCGGUCGAAGCCAAGGGUCUGCAAAACCCUUUACCGCAAGUUCGAAUCUUGCCGUCGCCU
RNAcentral lists this transfer RNA (74 nucleotides) under Chlorobium sp. It matches the Rfam family "tRNA". From Rfam's summary of the family: Transfer RNA (tRNA) molecules are approximately 80 nucleotides in length. Their secondary structure includes four short double-helical elements and three loops (D, anti-codon, and T loops). Lineage: Bacteria; Pseudomonadati; Chlorobiota; Chlorobiia; Chlorobiales; Chlorobiaceae. RNAcentral also lists the same sequence under 1 other name. The record is from Rfam by way of RNAcentral.